Molecule: ribosomal RNA, 817 nt
Filed under: uncultured bacterium
Lineage: Bacteria
Description: bacterial SSU rRNA
Rfam family: Bacterial small subunit ribosomal RNA
Source: RNAcentral
AGAGUUUGAUCCUGGCUCAGGAUGAAUUCUGGCGGCGUGCUUAACACAUGCAAGUCGAACGAAGCACCUUUUCACGAUCCCUUCGGGGUGACGAGUUGGUGACUGAGUGGCGGACGGGUGAGUAACGCGUGGGAAACCUGCCCUACACUGGGGGAUAGCAGUUGGAAACGACUGAUAAUACCGCAUAAGCGCACAGUACCGCAUGGUACAGUGUGAAAAACUCCGGUGGUGUAGGAUGGUCCCGCGUCUGAUUAGCUAGUUGGUGAGGUAACGGCCCACCAAGGCGACGAUCAGUAGCCGACCUGAGAGGGUGACCGGCCACAUUGGGACUGAGACACGGCCCAAACUCCUACGGGAGGCAGCAGUGGGGAAUAUUGCACAAUGGAGGAAACUCUGAUGCAGCGACGCCGCGUGAGUGAUGAAGUAUUUCGGUAUGUAAAGCUCUAUCAGCAGGGAAGAUAAUGACGGUACCUGAGUAAGAAGCUCCGGCUAAAUACGUGCCAGCAGCCGCGGUAAUACGUAUGGAGCAAGCGUUAUCCGGAUUUACUGGGUGUAAAGGGAGUGUAGGCGGUUUCAUAAGUCAGAUGUGAAAACCCGGGGCUCAACCCCGUGGACUGCAUUUGAAACUGUGGAACUAGAGUGUCGGAGAGGUAAGUGGAAUUCCUAGUGUAGCGGUGAAAUGCGUAGAUAUUAGGAAGAACACCAGUGGCGAAGGCGGCUUACUGGACGAUUACUGACGCUGAGGCUCGAAAGCGUGGGGAGCAAACAGGAUUAGAUACCCUGGUAGUCCACGCUGAAACGAUGAAUACUAGGUGUU